Molecule: ribosomal RNA, 491 nt
Filed under: uncultured bacterium
Lineage: Bacteria
Description: partial 16S ribosomal RNA
Rfam family: Bacterial small subunit ribosomal RNA
Source: RNAcentral
AUUGAACGCUGGCGGCAUGCUUUACACAUGCAAGUCGAACGGUAACAGGCCUUCGGGUGCUGCCGAGUGGCGAACGGGUGAGUAAUGCAUCGGAACGUACCCAGAGGUGGGGGAUAACGCAGCGAAAGCUGUGCUAAUACCGCAUGUGAUCUGAGGAUGAAAGCGGGGGACCGAGCAGCAAUGUUUGGCCUCGCGCCUUUGGAGCGGCCGAUGUCGGAUUAGCUAGUUGGUGGGGUAAAGGCCUACCAAGGCGACGAUCCGUAGCUGGUCUGAGAGGACGACCAGCCACACUGGGACUGAGACACGGCCCAGACUCCUACGGGAGGCAGCAGGGGGGAAUUUUGGACAAUGGGCGCAAGCCUGAUCCAGCAAUGCCGCGUGCGGGAAGAAGGCCUUCGGGUUGUAAACCGCUUUUGGCAGGAACGAAACGGUGUCCGCUAAUACCGGGCGCUAAUGACGGUACCUGCAGAAUAAGCACCGGCUAACUACGU